Molecule: long non-coding RNA, 576 nt
Organism: Hipposideros armiger (great roundleaf bat)
Lineage: Eukaryota; Metazoa; Chordata; Mammalia; Chiroptera; Hipposideridae
Exons: 4
Source: RefSeq, a predicted model, not a curated record
GCGUCGCUUCCACCGCCACCGCCUGCGGGCAAUUGUCGCUCCGCCUCGCUUUUGGCUCGUGCACCCCGGCCUCUUCUUCGGGCCCCGGGAAGGAUGGGGUGCAGGGGCCCGGCCGGUAGGGCGCCCCGCACGGUCACUGGGCUCCCCACGCAGUGCAGCGACCGCGAGGACUAGGGAAUCCCCAAGCUGCCCCCCGUGCAUCUCCGGGCGGGCGCCCCGGCCCCGGCACGAUCAGAAUAAAUGGGUUGAGAGGCUCGACCCGCGGGGACUCUGGCCUUGUUGAGUGAAGGACCCAAACGUGGAAUUGCUGAUGACAAAGGUGGACCUGUGAGGCCACAGCUUUACCUAUAAUAACCAGGACCCAGCACAAUCCAGUCAGCCGGAUACAUUCGCGGCAGAAGUUGUGGCCACAGGUGGUCAUCACGGGGUCGGUGAAGUAGUCGAGGCAGAUGGAGCACGUGGCCUCCUCCUGCAGCUUUCUGGCAAGUUCCACACAGGAAUCUUGCUAGAUCAGUUUGGCAAGAAGAUGUCUCUUCCUAGUGAUUUUCCAUCACCGACCCCUCGCCCGGCUCUUGG